UGGCGGCACUAGCGCGGUGGUCCCACCUGACCCCAUGCCGAACUCAGAAGUGAAACGCCGUAGCGCCGAUGGUAGUGUGGGGUCUCCCCAUGCGAGAGU
Molecule: ribosomal RNA, 99 nt
Filed under: Salmonella enterica subsp. enterica serovar Typhimurium str. DT104
Lineage: Bacteria; Pseudomonadati; Pseudomonadota; Gammaproteobacteria; Enterobacterales; Enterobacteriaceae
Source: RNAcentral